GUACUCUGAAAUUGUGUUUAUCUUGCAAAGCCAAAGUCUUUGUAAUUUGUAAACAAUGUGUUACAGUACGGCGACAGCCUGUAUAACAACCACAAGCCAUUCCCCAAAGAUAAGGUUGUAAACAACGUGUUACAGUACGGCGACAGCCUGUAUAACAACCACAAGCCAUUCCCCAAAGAUAAGGUUAAGACCAAGUUCUUAUCGCCGAGCUUCCAGAUCUAAUCUCUCUCUGUUUCUUUGUAGUUCUCAAAUUUAUUCAUAAAACUUUGUGUUUCCACAACUAC
RNAcentral lists this unclassified non-coding RNA (284 nucleotides) under uncultured bacterium. RNAcentral's name for it is "contains 16S-23S intergenic spacer region". The record is from RNAcentral.